UUUAGAGUGUUGGGGCGGUAAUAGUUUUUGUCUUAAUUUGUUCAAGUUCGAUAAAAUAAGCAACCUUUAUACUUACUGAGUGUGUUGGAUUUUUGUUAUGGCUCAUGAAAUUUUUUGAGGGAAUAGAUAAUAGAAAUUUUUCAAACUAGGGACUUAACUUAAAAUAUAUUAUAAGAAAUUUUGUUUUUUUUUUAUUUUUUUUUAUUCAAGGGAAAUAACAAUGAAAAGAAAGGUACAUACUUGAAGAAGGGAGGAUAGAAAGAACACGGUUUU
RNAcentral lists this long non-coding RNA (273 nucleotides) under Lathyrus oleraceus (garden pea). Its description in RNAcentral is "Pisum sativum (pea) long non-coding RNA (PSAT_LNC015871)". Lineage: Eukaryota; Viridiplantae; Streptophyta; Magnoliopsida; Fabales; Fabaceae. The record is from RNAcentral.